UCGUCACACUAUCAUUAACUGAAUCCAUAGGUUAAUGAGGCGAACCGGGGGAACUGAAACAUCUAAGUACCCCGAGGAAAAGAAAUCAACCGAGAUUCCCCCAGUAGCGGCGAGCGAACGGGGAGCAGCCCAGAGCCUGAAUCAGUGUGUGUGUUAGUGGAAGCGUCUGGAAAGGCGCGCGAUACAGGGUGACAGCCCCGUACACAAAAAUGCACAUGCUGUGAGCUCGAUGAGUAGGGCGGGACACGUGGUAUCCUGUCUGAAUAUGGGGGGACCAUCCUCCAAGGCUAAAUACUCCUGACUGACCGAUAGUGAACCAGUACCGUGAGGGAAAGGCGAAAAGAACCCCGGCGAGGGGAGUGAAAAAGAACCUGAAACCGUGUACGUACAAGCAGUGGGAGCACAGAGCAAUCUGUGUGACUGCGUACCUUUUGUAUAAUGGGUCAGCGACUUAUAUUCUGUAGCAAGGUUAACCGAAUAGGGGAGCCGAAGGGAAACCGAGUCUUAACUGGGCGUUAAGUUGCAGGGUAUAGACCCGAAACCCGGUGAUCUAGCCAUGGGCAGGUUGAAGGUUGGGUAACACUAACUGGAGGACCGAACCGACUAAUGUUGAAAAAUUAGCGGAUGACUUGUGGCUGGGGGUGAAAGGCCAAUCAAACCGGGAGAUAGCUGGUUCUCCCCGAAAGCUAUUUAGGUAGCGCCUCGUGAAUUCAUCUCCGGGGGUAGAGCACUGUUUCGGCAAGGGGGUCAUCCCGACUUACCAACCCGAUGCAAACUGCGAAUACCGGAGAAUGUUAUCACGGGAGACACACGGCGGGUGCUAACGUCCGUCGUGAAGAGGGAAACAACCCAGACCGCCAGCUAAGGUCCCAAAGUCAUGGUUAAGUGGGAAACGAUGUGGGAAGGCCCAGACAGCCAGGAUGUUGGCUUAGAAGCAGCCAUCAUUUAAAGAAAGCGUAAUAGCUCACUGGUCGAGUCGGCCUGCGCGGAAGAUGUAACGGGGCUAAACCAUG
This 1013-nucleotide ribosomal RNA is filed under the name Escherichia coli. RNAcentral's name for it is "partial 23S ribosomal RNA". It matches the Rfam family "Bacterial large subunit ribosomal RNA", at positions 140 to 1191 of the family's 2925-position model. Lineage: Bacteria; Pseudomonadati; Pseudomonadota; Gammaproteobacteria; Enterobacterales; Enterobacteriaceae. The record is from RNAcentral.